GAUGAACGCUAGCGGGAGGCCUAACACAUGCAAGCCGAGCGGUAUUGAUUCUUCGGAAUAGAGAGAGCGGCGUACGGGUGCGGAAGACGUGUGCAACCUGGCUUUAUAAGGGGGAUAACCUUUAGAAAGGAAGAUUAAUACCCCAUAAUAUAUUGAUUGGCAUCAAGUGAUAUUGAAAACUCCGGUGGAUAAAGAUGGGCACGCGAAAGUAUAGAUAGUUGGUGAGGUUACGGCUCACCAAGUCGAUGAUCUUAAGUGGGCCUGAGAGGGUGAUCCACCACACUGGUACUGAGACACGGACCAGACUCCUACGGGAGGCAGCAGUGAGGAAUAUUGGACAAUGGGUGAGAGCCUGAUCCAGCCAUCCCGCGUGAAGGACGACGGUUCUAUGGAUUGUAAACUUCUUUUAUAUAGGGAUAAACCUACUUACGUGUAAGUAGCUGAAGGUACUAUAUGAAUAAGCACCGGCUAACUCCGUGCCAGCCGCCGCCGUAA
This 495-nucleotide ribosomal RNA is filed under the name uncultured bacterium. RNAcentral describes it as "partial 16S ribosomal RNA". It matches the Rfam family "Bacterial small subunit ribosomal RNA", at positions 28 to 523 of the family's 1533-position model. The record is from RNAcentral.